This is a long non-coding RNA of Aedes albopictus (Asian tiger mosquito), 2420 nucleotides long. RefSeq lists it as uncharacterized. The transcript has 2 exons. The record is from RefSeq and is a predicted model, not a curated record. NCBI's taxonomy places the organism in Eukaryota, Metazoa, Arthropoda, Insecta, Diptera, Culicidae.
GGCCUGACACCGCAAGAAAGUUGAGAAUGGGUCAAAGUAUUCGAAAUAGCCUAUCUAUGAAUAUAAGUUAAUUUUAUUGAUCAUAUCUAGUAAGCCUACUAAAAAAAAACUAUAUCCAUGACUAAAAAAAACUUGUAAUUUUAAAAGAUGAUUAAUCCACCUAAAAGGGCUAGUACAACCGAAAAAAUUAUUGAAAUUUGAUAAAAUAACGGUUGUAUGUUGUAUCGCCAUUUUUAGCCACCAUAAUCAUCCUCAUUUAAAGUUUCAACCUCCAUGAGAGGAGGGGGGGAUUACAAUGAGGGAGGGACGCAUUAAAAGAUUACAUGAGAAAUGUCUAACCAAACCAAAAUUCGACGUUCAUUCACUUUCCGACAUUGUACUAUGUUACCGGUUUUAUAGCCCCUGUAUUUCCUAAAUCCCUCUACUGUCUGGUAGUUUCAGGAUAUUUCCUUAAAAUUUCAAAAAUGAGUGGAGAAGAAGAACGUUUUUAAGUCUAUUUUGUGAGCUUACGAUAUUGCAGUACACUAAACGUUAGAUGAUGAUUAGAGCAGCUGUCCAUGUCCAUGUUUAUUGUUAUAAAUUAUUUUAGGCGCUAAACGUACGAACACACUCGCUUGACACUUCUGCGACAUAUUUUCUAAAAAAAGCGUGCUUUUAUGAAGAUACGGUAAACAUGGCACCACUCUAACAUCAAAUGGGGACUGAAUAACAAGUUGAAUUUUUAGUUAAGGUUAUGUGCACUCGAUAACUUGCUUGACCCAAUCUCACCCCCAUUUUUAAUAUUUUAAACAUAGGGUCGAAAAUAUUGAGUUUUUAUAUAAAAAGUGCAUUGACAGCCAACUUUUUUCGUUGCAUCAACCAGGUAAUACCUGCAGCUAACUACUUAUAAGAAAAUUUAUGGAUAGGUGCUUGUAUGAAACAUUGCGAAGAAGAAAUUUUUUCAGAGUGAUUUACUAGUAGUUUCAUCAUAUAAGUUUAGCCACAGUUUGAUCAAAAAACGAUUAUUGCUAAGCAUCUUUUUCUGCAUCAUGACGUGUAAAAACAUCUCCUCUUUAAAAUAAUAUAAAGUUUUCACUAUAAAUUAGCCAGAGUUGAUGAGCUAUUUCAAAUUUUAUGUUUCUCCGUUUUGACCCAAUCUCACCCCCCAGACCUAUUGUCACCCCCAUCGACGGUACGUAUUACUAAUAUGGUAUUAUGUGGUACAGUAAAGGGUCAUGUUCCAUGAAGUUCUGUUAUGAAGUCUUAUUUCUACGGAACUCUGGACGACUGGACCGAUUCAUUAGCUUUGCACUGCUUUACAUAUUGAUAGAAUAGUGCAUUAGAACAUUGAGCCGAAUGGGGAUCUGAACGGGCGUUCUUGAGCAGUGAAAAGCUCUGACACGCAAGUUCAAUGUUUACUGCGUUCACGUUCAAAAAAUUGAACGCGUUCAGUCCAUUUUUGGCUCGCGUUCAGUUCAAAUGCAACACUGGUUCUGGGCUCUUCCAAAGUUGAUGAAAGGAUUUAUAAAUGCUUGCAAGGGCUUGGCCAGGUGUGUGGAGCUGAGUGGAUCUAUGACAUUGUAGAUAGUAGCGACAUCAGCAAUGUCUAUGGAUACAUUCUACUUUGCAACUCCAUCCAAGAUUUAUGCAAGUAUUAAUGCUAUGCUAUGCCAUACUCUGCUAUAUAAAAGGAUACAUUAGUAAGUUCAAGAGUGUUUUGUAUCUCACUGCAAUAUUGAAGUUGCAUGUGCUUUCAGUGCAGCUUAAGCAUAUAAAGCCAUAUUUUGGAUAUUGUUGCAGGUGCUGCUUGGGUACUUCGCCACCCUUAGAGAUGGCUCACUACCUACAAUACAAUUUUGUUUGAAGACAUGACUCCAAACUAUUCCAGUAUUGUCAAUUUCUUGAUUUUGCUUUGGCUGACCAAGCCAUGUGGGAAAUUACACUGUUGAAAAUGCUUUGACAUCCAUGUGCACAACAGAACAUGUGCUCGAUGAACAAAUUGAGAUUUGAAAUUAUGAAAAGAAAUCCACGUACUCCGGUGAGACUCGAACUCACGACUCCCAAUUCGCUAGACGGGCGCUUCUAUUCCUUCAAGCUACGGAGUCACUCGACUAUCUCCGUCGCCAGCAGGCCUAGAACUGAACUCGAUUCCACAAUCGCACAUGGUUAUCUUCUUUUCACAAUCCAAACCCCCUUCGGAUGGGAUUAGAUGAACAUCUAACACAUUGUCUGUUGUGCACAUGUAUGUCAAAGCGGGAGAGGAAGUUAUUUUUAAUUGUCGAGAGCUUCGGGCACUGCCUUCCAAUCACUUAUUGGUAUGGCAAUUAGUGUGCAUUCGAGUCUCACCGGAGUACGUGGAUUUCUUUUCAUAAUUUCAAAUCUCAAUUUGUUCAUCGAGCACAUGUUCUGUUGUGCACAUGGAUGUCAAAGCAUUUUCAAUA